RNAcentral lists this ribosomal RNA (433 nucleotides) under uncultured bacterium. RNAcentral describes it as "partial 16S ribosomal RNA". It matches the Rfam family "Bacterial small subunit ribosomal RNA", at positions 29 to 507 of the family's 1533-position model. The record is from RNAcentral.
AGCGAACGCUGGCGGCAGGCUUAACGCAUGCAAGUCGAGCGGGCACUUCGGUGUCAGCGGCAGACGGGUGAGUAACACGUGGGAACGUACCCUUUGGUUCGGAAUAACGCUGGGAAACUAGCGCUAAUACCGGAUACGCCCUUUUGGGGAAAGGCUUGCUGCCGAAGGAUCGGCCCGCGUCUGAUUAGCUAGUUGGUGGGGUAAUGGCCUACCAAGGCGACGAUCAGUAGCUGGUCUGAGAGGAUGAUCAGCCACACUGGGACUGAGACACGGCCCAGACUCCUACGGGAGGCAGCAGUGGGGAAUAUUGGACAAUGGGCGCAAGCCUGAUCCAGCCAUGCCGCGUGAGUGAUGAAGGCCUUAGGGUUGUAAAGCUCUUUUGUCCGGGACGAUAAUGACGGUACCGGAAGAAUAAGCCCCGGCUAACUUCGUG